Molecule: long non-coding RNA, 1835 nt
Filed under: Homo sapiens (human)
Lineage: Eukaryota; Metazoa; Chordata; Mammalia; Primates; Hominidae
Description: non-protein coding lnc-GOLGA6L22-2:1
Source: RNAcentral
GGUUAUAUCUUAAGUGUGGUGCUGCUAACAUUGCCCAGGCAACAUCUGGUUCAGCUUUAUCUAUAUUUUUUGACUGCUCUGCUUUUCUAUACUGGACAUCAAAUUUCCAGGGACUACGUUCGGAGUGAACUGCGGUUUGCCUAUGAGGGACCAAUGUAUUUAGAACCUCUCUCUAUGAAUCGGUUUACCACAGCCUUAAUAGGUCAGUUGGUGGUGUGUACUUUAUGCUCCUGUGUCAUGAAAACAAAGCAGAUUUGGCUGUUUUCAGCUCACGUGCUUCCUCUGCUAGCACGACUCUGCCUGGUUCCUUUGGAGACAAUUGUUAUCAUCAAUAAAUUUGCUAUGAUUUUUACUGGAUUGGAAGUUCUCUAUUUUCUUGGGUCUAAUCUUUUGCUACCUUAUAACCUUGCUAAAUCUGCAUACAGAGAAUUGGUUCAGGUAGUGGAGGUAUAUGGCCUUCUCACCUUGGGAAUGUCCUUGUGGAAUCAACUGGUAGUCCCUGUUCUUUUCAUGGUUUUCUGGCUCAUCUUAUUUGCUCUUCAGAUUUACUCCUAUUUCAGUACUCGAGAUCAGCCGGCAUCACGUGAGAGGCUUCUUUUCCUUUUUCUGACAAGUAUUGCAGAAUGCUGCAGCACUCCUUACUCUCUUUUGGGUUUGGUCUUCACGGUUUCUUUUGUUGCCUUGGGUGUUCUCACACUCUGCGAGUUUUACUUGCAGGGUUAUCGAGCUUUCAGGAAUGAUCCUGCCAUGAAUUGGAGCAUGACAGAAGGAGUAACGCUGUUAAUCCUGGCAGUGCAGACUGGGCUGAUAGAACUGCAGGUUGUUCAUCGGGCAUUCCUGCUCAGUAUUAUCCUUUUCAUUGUUGCAGCUUCUAUCCUACAGUCUAUGUUAGAAAUUGCAGAUCCUAUUGUUUUGGCACUGGGAGCAUCCAGAGACAAGAGCUUGUGGAAACACUUCCGUGCUGUGCGACUUUGUUUAUUUUUAUUGGUAUUCCCUGCUCAUAUGGCUUAUAUGAUUUGCCAGUUUUUCCACCUGGAUUUUUGGCUUCUUAUCAUUAUUUCCAGCAGCAUUCUUACCUCUCUUCAGGUUCUGGGAACACUUUUUAUUUAUGUCUGAUUUAUGGUUGAGGAAUUCAGAAAAGAGCCGGUGGAAAACAUGGAUGAUGUCAUCUACUAUGUGAAUGGCACUUACCACCUGCUGGAGUUUCUUGCGGCCGUCUGUAUGGUGGCCUAUUGCGUCUCAGAGACCAUCUUUGGAGAAUGGACAGUGAUGGGCUCAAUGAUCAUCCAUUCAUUCCUACUAUAACGUGUGGCUUCAGGCCCAGCUGGGGUGGAAGAGCUUUCUUCUCCACAGGGAUGCUGUGAAUAAGAUUAAAUCGUUACCCAUUGCUACGAAAGAGCAGCUUGAGAAACACAAUGAUAUUUGUGCCAUCUGUUAUCAGGUAACUCCUUCGAUAAGAAUCUGUUUGGGACAUGAAAUCUGCUGUGAUCACGCCUUGCGUUCAUUUUUUCCAUGCAGGCUGUCUUAAGAAAUGGCUGUAUGUCCAGGAGACCUGCCCUCUGUGCCACUACCACCUGAAAAACUCCUCCCAGCUUCCAGGAUUAGGAACUGAGCCAGUUCUACAGCCUCAUGCUGGAGCUGAGCAAAACAUCAUGUUUCAGGAAGGAACUGAACCCCCAGGCCAAGAGCAUACUCCAGGGACCAGGAUACAGGAAGGUUCUAGGGACAAUAAUGAGCGCAUCGCCAGACAACCAGAUAGCCAGGAAGGGGCUUUUGACCCCAAAGAAUAUCUUCACAGUGCAAAAGAUGAAGCACAUCCUGUUGAAUCAGCCUAG